Molecule: ribosomal RNA, 59 nt
Filed under: Neofusicoccum umdonicola
Lineage: Eukaryota; Fungi; Ascomycota; Dothideomycetes; Botryosphaeriales; Botryosphaeriaceae
Description: partial 28S ribosomal RNA
Rfam family: Eukaryotic large subunit ribosomal RNA
Source: RNAcentral
UUGACCUCGGAUCAGGUAGGGAUACCCGCUGAACUUAAGCAUAUCAGUAAGCGGAGGAA